UUAAUUAUGUUAAAGCGCCUUACCUUAGGGUUUCCUCUGGGGUAAGUGAUUGCUUCUACACUGUGAAAAUUUGGCUGAGAGACUCAGACUGGUCAUGGGUAGACCUAUCUGGGGUUUGAUCGAUGCCACUCCUGGUUUCAGGAGCACCCUUCAUAAUAAACCUAGAAAUUCAGUAUUAUAAAGUUUAAUAAAAAACAACUUUUAACAAUGGAUCUCUUGGUUCUCGCAUCGAUGAAGAACGUAGCAAAGUGCGAUAACUAGUGUGAAUUGCAUAUUCAGUGAAUCAUCGAGUCUUUGAACGCAGCUUGCACUCUAUGGUUUUUCUAUAGAGUACGCCUGCUUCAGUAUCAUCACAAACCCACACAUAACAUUUGUUUAUGUGGUGAUGGGUCGCAUCGCUGUUUUAUUACAGUGAGCACCUAAAAUGUGUGUGAUUUUCUGUCUGGCUUGCUAGGCAGGAAUAUUACGCUGGUCUCAGGAUCUUUUUUUUUGGUUCGCCCAGGAAGUAAAGUACAAGAGUAUAAUCCAGUAACUUUCAAACUAUGAUCUGAAGUCAGGUGGGAUUACCCGCUGAACUUAAGCAUAUCAAUAAGCGGAGGAAAAGAAAAUAACAAUGAUUUCCCUAGUAACGGCGAGUGAAGAGGAAAGAUUUA
RNAcentral lists this ribosomal RNA (653 nucleotides) under Rhizopus arrhizus. RNAcentral's name for it is "eukaryotic LSU rRNA". The stretch from base 197 to 350 matches the Rfam family "5.8S ribosomal RNA". Lineage: Eukaryota; Fungi; Mucoromycota; Mucoromycetes; Mucorales; Rhizopodaceae. The record is from RNAcentral.